AUUCCUUCCGGGGUUGUGGGACUUCGAUGUGAGACUUUGAUGGAUAGCGGAAUGGUCUGGAAAGGCCGGCCGAAGAGGGUGAUAGCCCCGUAUGCGAAAUCUUGAUGAGCUCUAGAAGUAUCCCGAGUACCACGGGACACGAGAAAUCUUGUGGGAAUCUGGGGGGACCAUCCUCCAAGCCUAAGUACUACCUACCGACCGAUAGUGAACCAGUACCGUGAGGGAAAGGUGAAAAGCACCCCGUUGAGGGGAGUGAAAUAGACCUGAAACCGUUUGCCUACAUUCAGUAGGAGCUCUAUGGCGAUUCUUCGGAAUCGCAAUGAGUGACUGCGUACCUUUUGUUUAAUGGGUCCGCGAGUUAUUCCUCAGUAGCAAGGUUAAGCCGCCAGGUGUAGCCGCAGCGAAAGCGAGUCUGAAUAGGGCGUCUAGUUACUGGGGAUAGACCCGAAACCAAGUGAUCUAUCCAUGGCCAGGUUGAAGCUCAGGUAAGACUGAGUGGAGGACCGAACCGUAGUAGGUUGAAAACUACCCGGAUGAGUUGUGGAUAGGGGUGAAAGGCCAAUCAAACUUGGAGAUAGCUGGUUCUCCCCGAAAUAUAUUUAGGUAUAGCCUCGCGUUUAUACCACCGGAGGUAGAGCACUGACUGGGCUAGGGGUCCUACCAGAUUACCGAACCCAAUCAAACUCCGAAUACCGGUGAGUACUGCGCGGGAGUCAGACUGCGGGUGAUAAGAUCCGUGGUCGAGAGGGAAAGAACCCAGACCGCCGGCUAAGGUCCCUAAAUCAUUGCUGAGUGGGAAAGGAAGUGAGAGCGCUUAGACAACCAGGAUGUUGGCUUAGAAGCAGCCACCAUUUAAAAAGUGCGUAACAGCUUACUGGUCUAGUGAAUUCGCGCCGAAAAUGUAACGGGGCUAAGCAAUGUACCGAAGCCGCGGAGCAUUCAUUUCUUCGGAUUUGAAUGUUGGUAGGGGAGCGUUCCAUACACGUCGAAGGCCUACCGUGAGGAGGGCUGGAGAGUAUGGAAGUGAUGAUGCGGACAUGAGUAGCGAUAAACAGGGUGAGAAACCCUGUCGCCGUAAACCUAAGGGUUCCUGAGUCAAGCUAAUCUUCUCAGGGUUAGUCGGCCCCUAAGCCGAGGGCGAAAGCCGUAGGCGAUGGGAAUCAGUUUAAUAUUACUGAACCACUAGAUAGCCGUUCGACCGAAGGGGGGACGGAGAAGGAUAGCUCAGCCCGUUAUUGGAUUCGGGUGAACGUCAAUAGGCGGGAGGUGUAGGCAAAUCCGCACCUCUAUUAACGCUGAGGGACGGGACGGUGGCCAAUAUGGCCCGUAAGUGAGUGAUUCCAUGCUUCCUAGAAAAGCCUCGUAGGGAGGUUGUCUGGUGACCGUACCGCAAACCAACACAGGUAGGUGGGCAGAGCAUGCCAAGGCGCUUGAGAAAACUCUGGUUAAGGAACUCGGCAAAUUGACACCGUAACUUCGGGAGAAGGUGUGCCUUUUCUGGUGAAAGACUUCGCGUCUGGAGCUGGGAAAGGUUGCAGAGACCAGGGGGUAGCGACUGUUUACUAAAAACACAGGACUCUGCGAAGUCGCAAGACGACGUAUAGGGUCUGACGCCUGCCCGGUGCCGGAAGGUUAAGGGAACCUGUUAGCUCUUCGGAGCGAAGCAGCGAACCGAAGCCCCGGUAAACGGCGGCCGUAACUAUAACGGUCCUAAGGUAGCGAAAUUCCUUGUCGGGUAAGUUCCGACCUGCACGAAUGGCGUAACGACUUCCCCACUGUCUCAGCCAGGGAC
Molecule: ribosomal RNA, 1792 nt
Filed under: marine metagenome
Description: bacterial LSU rRNA
Rfam family: Bacterial large subunit ribosomal RNA
Source: RNAcentral